This 1614-nucleotide ribosomal RNA is filed under the name Triticum aestivum (bread wheat). RNAcentral describes it as "partial small subunit ribosomal RNA". Lineage: Eukaryota; Viridiplantae; Streptophyta; Magnoliopsida; Poales; Poaceae. The record is from RNAcentral.
AUGACUAUCAUCGAAGGCCAGGUCUCUACGGCGACAAUGACGAUGGAGCAGAUGCAGUCCACCCUUGGUGAUCUCAUUAUUGGCCUCACCAAGACCUCAGAAACGCUUAACAACACAGCUGAUACGGUAACCCAAACAGCGACGAGCUGUCAAGCGCUGCAAAUCACCACCGAGCGGCUUCUCAAGGCUAAUGAAAAUGUCUCCAACAAGGUGGCCAGCUUGGAGACUCAAGUCGAGGGGUUCAGUGUGCGUCUUACCUCAUUGGAAGGCACUAUAGCUACUGCUACACGAACUCCUGGCCCAGGUGGGCGCCGUGAAGAAUUUGCAAACCAGGACAAUGCUCAAGGGCAUGUCCUGGGCAAUGGUGCGUUUCGCCUCUCUCAAAACCAGCAUGAAUCUGGUCCAUCUCAUCUCCGUACUGCACUACAUGAGGAUAAUUUGGGUUUUAGGCAUGAUAGGAAUACUAGAGAUCAGUAUCGUGAUUUUCAUAUGCCCAAAACUUCAUUCCCUAAGUUUGAUGGUACAGACCCAAAGAUAUGGAAAGAUAAGGCUGAAAAGUAUUUCCAUAUGCUUCAUGUCCCUGAAGACUAUAAAGUGGACUAUGCAACAUUACAUUUCAUUAAUACAGCAGCUAUGUGGCUUCAGACCUACGAAGCCAACCAUGACAUCAAUAGUUGGCCUCAAUUGUGUGUUGCUGUGUGUCAGAAAUUUGGUAAGGAUUUGUACUACACCAAUAUGACUAAAACACUAGAAAUUAGACAAACAGGUGAUGUCGAGAGUUACCAUAGGGAAUUUGAGUUACUCAUGCAUCAGUUGCUUACACACAACUCUGCUCUUGAUGAUACCUUUUUUGUAACAAAGUUUCUUAAAGGAUUAAAAAAAGAGAUUAGUUCCGCUUUGGUUUUGCAUAAACCAAGGACAGUUGAUGCGGCUAUUUCUCUGGCCUUAUUGCAGGAAGCUCAGUUAAAUGAUUACCGCCGUCCUCGUUAUGAACCUAAGAAAUGGCAUAACCAGGCUGGACCAGGAAAAUUGGGACCUCAUCCUGCUGAAGCAGAUGUUAGUGAAGGGGCUGCAAAACGGACAGAAGCUAAAGCUGCUACUGUACAGCUUGCCAAACUGAAAGCUCAGCGACGUGCCCGUGGUGAGUGCUUCAAGUGUGGAGGGAAAUAUGCACCGGGUCAUAAAUGCCCUCAACAAGUGUCUUUAUCGGUUGUUGAAGAAUUAUGUCAAGCUUUGCAAGUGGAAGCUGAGUCUGAAAGUGAUGCAAAGCCCAUAGAGUCGGAUAGUGAUACUAGUGAGGAAGUUUUCAGUUUGUCAGCUGCAGCGACACAAGGUACUACUGGAAAGAAAACACUUCGUCUGCAAGGCUACAUUGGCAAGUGCCAAGUACUGAUUUUGGUCGACUCGGGAAGUUCUGGAAAUUUUAUUAAUUCAAAUGUGGUUGAAGCUCUUCAAAUUCCUGUACAACAAUUAUCUCCUGUUCGAGUGGCUAUUGCUGACGGCUCCACUAUGCUAAGCAACAUUGGCAUUUCAGGGCUAACAUGGGCAUCCAACAACAUAAGUUCACAGCUGAUAUGCGCGUGUUGGCGUUGCAAGGAUAUGACAUCAUUUUAG